UAGUAACGGCGAGUGAACCGGGAAGAGCUCAAAUUUGAAAUCUGGCGUGCUCAGUGCGUCCGAGUUGUAAUCUAUAGAGGCGUUUUCCGUGCCGGACUGUGUCUAAGUCCCUUGGAACAGGGUAUCAAAGAGGGUGAUAAUCCCGUACUUGACACAAUGACCGGUGCUCUGUGAUACGUCUUCUACGAGUCGAGUUGUUUGGGAAUGCAGCUCAAAAUGGGUGGUGAGUUCCAUCUAAAGCUAAAUAUUGGCGAGAGACCGAUAGCGAACAAGUACCGUGAGGGAAAGAUGAAAAGCACUUUGGAAAGAGAGUUAAACAGUACGUGAAAUUGUUGAAAGGGAAACGAUUGAAGUCAGUCGUGACUGAGAGGCUCAGCCGGUUCUGCCGGUGUAUUCCCCUCAGUCGGGUCAACAUCAGUUUUGUUCGGUGGAUAAGGGCAGCUGGAAGGUGGCACCUCCGGGUGUGUUAUAGCCAGCUGUCGCAUACAUCGAAUGAGACUGAGGAAUGCAGCUCGCCUUUAUGGCCGGG
Molecule: ribosomal RNA, 529 nt
Filed under: Papiliotrema flavescens
Lineage: Eukaryota; Fungi; Basidiomycota; Tremellomycetes; Tremellales; Rhynchogastremaceae
Description: eukaryotic LSU rRNA
Rfam family: Eukaryotic large subunit ribosomal RNA
Source: RNAcentral